This 254-nucleotide ribosomal RNA is filed under the name uncultured bacterium. Its description in RNAcentral is "partial 16S ribosomal RNA". It matches the Rfam family "Bacterial small subunit ribosomal RNA", at positions 524 to 776 of the family's 1533-position model. The record is from RNAcentral.
UACGGGGGGAGCAAGCGUUGUUCGGAUUUACUGGGCGUAAAGGGCGCGUAGGCGGCCAGCACAAGUCAGUUGUGAAAUCUCCGAGCUUAACUCGGAAAGGUCAACUGAUACUGUGCGGCUAGAGUGCGGAAGGGGCAACUGGAAUUCUCGGUGUAGCGGUGAAAUGCGUAGAUAUCGAGAGGAACACCUGCGGCGAAGGCGGGUUGCUGGGCUGAUACUGACGCUGAGGCGCGAAAGCUAGGGGAGCGAACGGG